RNAcentral lists this ribosomal RNA (459 nucleotides) under uncultured bacterium. RNAcentral describes it as "partial 16S ribosomal RNA". It matches the Rfam family "Bacterial small subunit ribosomal RNA", at positions 28 to 507 of the family's 1533-position model. The record is from RNAcentral.
GAUGAACGCUGGCGGCGCGCCUAACACAUGCAAGUCGAACGGCACCCCUCCUCGGAGGGAAGCGAGUGGCGAACGGCUGAGUAACACGUGGAGAACCUGCCCCCGCCCCCGGGAUAGCCGCCCGAAAGGACGGGGAAUACCGGAUACCCCGGGGUGCCGCAUGGCACCCCGGCUAAAGCCCCGACGGGAGGGGAUGGCUCCGCGGCCCAUCAGGUAGACGGCGGGGUGACGGCCCACCGUGCCGACAACGGGUAGCCGGGUUGAGAGACCGACCGGCCAGAUUGGGACUGAGACACGGCCCAGACUCCUACGGGAGGCAGCAGUGGGGAAUCUUGCGCAAUGGGGGGAACCCUGACGCAGCGACGCCGCGUGCGGGACGGAGGCCUUCGGGUAGUAAACCGCUUUCAGCAGGGAAGAGUCAAGACUGUACCUGCAGAAGAAGCCCCGGCUAACUACGUG